CUACGGGGGGCAGCAGUAGGGAAUAUUGCGCAAUGGGCGAAAGCCUGACGCAGCGACGCCGCGUGAGUGAUGAAGGUCCUCUGGAUUGUAAAGCUCUGUAAGGAGGGAAGAACCGCCUGGUGUAACGGCCAGGUCUGACGGUACCUCCAAAGUAAGCACCGGCCAAAUAAGUGCCAGCAGCCGCGGUAAUACUUAUGGUGCGAGCGUUGUCCGGAAUGACUGGGCGUAAAGGGUGCGUAGGCGGACUUUCAAGUCAGGUGUGAAAUCCCCGGGCUUAACCUGGGAACUGCGCUUGAAACUGGAAGUCUAGAGUAUGUGAGGGGUUAGCGGAAUUCCCGGAGUAGCGGUGAAAUGCGUAGAGAUCGGGAAGAACACCGGUGGCGAAGGCGGCUAACUGGCACAUGACCGACGCUGAGGCACGAAAGCGUGGGGAGCGAACGGGAUUAGAUACCCGCGUAGUC
RNAcentral lists this ribosomal RNA (461 nucleotides) under uncultured bacterium. Its description in RNAcentral is "partial 16S ribosomal RNA". It matches the Rfam family "Bacterial small subunit ribosomal RNA", at positions 339 to 795 of the family's 1533-position model. The record is from RNAcentral.